Long non-coding RNA from Syngnathoides biaculeatus (alligator pipefish), 1716 nucleotides. RefSeq lists it as uncharacterized. NCBI's taxonomy places the organism in Eukaryota, Metazoa, Chordata, Actinopteri, Syngnathiformes, Syngnathidae. The record is from RefSeq and is a predicted model, not a curated record. The transcript has 4 exons.
UAUCUCGUCAAUCUCUGACCCGUCUUGUCAGGUUUCUAGUUUAGGUUUAUUUCAGAUAUAUUUUAUUACUUUGAGUAUUUUGUUGUUACUUUUAGUAGUUUUUUUUAUUAUUAAAUAUUUUUCGAGAUUCUUGGAUUAUUAUUCUGCCCUGUGACAGCCAAGGUACACACACCAAAAGGACCAGUUGAAUGCCCAUUGAAUCAAAGCAAAAAUGUUGCAAUUGCAGGUACCAUCAAAAGGUGGCCACAUGAAGAUGUGCACAACAUCGCGAUGACAAAGUAAAAUGAUUGGAUGCUAGAAUACAGGAGAAGGUAAUGGAAGCUUCCUUAGACAAUCCUGCAUGCCUCAGUCAAUAUUCACUUCUGCGCCUCAAGCUACCGCAUUUUUAAAAGCAACUGCGAGGAUUUGAGCCAGUUCCAGGGGAAACAGCGCUCAUUUCGCUGCAAGUCACACAGAUCAAGUCAAGACCCUCAGGCAGCCUCAUCAUCUCAGCACUCACAUCUUACUGCUGGCUUCUAGCACUGCAUGAGCUUUUUUUUUACCUUCUGUCUUCAAGUCAACUAUGCAGUUGUCUAUUUUAAAUAAUCUUUUAUUGCCUCUCGCCACAUGAAUCUGUUCAUCGUGGUUUUAAAUAAGUUGUUCCUGUUUUCUUUCUUUCUGAUUUCUAGCCUUUCAGCUGAGUUAUCUAAUAAUAAGAAUAAAAAUAGUCAGCAUCUUCCUCAUCAUCACGAGCAGCAGGAUGUUGAAGGUUGUGCAAAAACAAGUUUAGUCUAAACACUGAGAGGAGACUCUCAAUAAAAUUAAAAAAAUAGUCUAUGAGUAAGUCAUUAGACAAGCCAUGAUGCAUGGAUUGGAAGCAGCAUCACCUAAGAAAGUAAUUUUUUUCUCAUUAUUUAUAGAAAAUCUCUAUUGACAAAUGGCAUUUAACAACAUAGAAACAUUGAUACAACAGUAAAAGAAGAAUAAGAAGUGGAUACCAAAGCAUCAUUGAUAGAUAAAGGAACAAGUAAAAAGUUUAGCAUUUUCAUCUCUGCUGGUAAAAAGGGAAAAGUGGGCAAGAAGGACAAGGAAGGAAGGUCAAGUCUUUCCUGGAAUGUUUCCUGGGGACAAAGCAAAGCCAAAUUCUCCAAUACAUGAUGAUUCCCAACAAAUCGUUUAUGUAGAUGUAUAUAUGUAUUUUUUUUUAAUUUUGUCCAAUCAGGAUUCACCCUGUUGCCACGUCAAUCGAAUCACCCGAUUUCGUCUGGUUAAAUUGACUCAAUAAUAUUAUUAUAUUUGUACCUAAAAUGAGCCAUGCAUCAGUUGCAUACAAAGCCCAUGCGUUCAAAGAACUAAACCAAGAAAAAAAUCAAUAUCACUACAAAAACAAAAAACAAAACAAACCCUCAAAGGAUAUUUAGUGUAAAUCACUGUUCUAUAUGUUUUACUGUUGCCUGACAGUCAAAAGUUGUCAGCAGUGCUCGGCUUCACUUUGACAGGUGCCACACAUCACAUCCUUAUGUUCACAUCCACAACGAUACGUUAUGACAAACAUUAUGAAAAUCUUCAAGGUAUUCUAAAAUUCAGUGAGGCCAAAAUUCUGAUUGCCUUCCUUAUGAAGUUUUCUAAACUGAUGAUUGAUGUAAAUAUGGUGAUGCCACUUAAGACAUUGAUUUUGUCCUGCUGGACUUUUGUACACUUUACAGGUCCCACUGAUUAUUUAUAUUACUAUUUUAU